UUCACAGAUAGCGCUACCUGCCUCGUAGUGUAGAUUUUCAAUUGCUUUUUAACACUGUAAAUCAAAGUGACAUCGUGUACUGUUGGAUGUUUUCGAUCGAAGAAGGUUCGGAAAUGAUAUUGUCUCAACAAUAAAAGGGAGCUGCCCCCUGUUUGCUUGAGGGGAUGAUGGGUUAUUCAUGGCACUAAGCACAGCCGGUUCACUACCCCCACUACUCUCAUCAGGACAUACAAAGUUUACACCAGAUUGGCACUUUGGCAUCUGGAAGUCAAGGAGGAGGAAAAUUCCUUAUCACAGUAUGGUCAUCUAUGGGGUUAUCGUCAAGGACGGGCCACACCAUUCCCCAGCUUGUGGGGGACAGUUCCAAUCCUGUUCUGUUUUACGAUUGGAAGGAUUACCUUUCUACAUUGUUUCACCCCAUAAAGAAUGUCACCAAAUUUCACCAAUUCCAUGUGUCAGUAGAUCAUAUGGGUGUUGUGGAGUGCAGGGAAUUUAGUGACUCACCAGUAGUCAGAAUCACUUUCAGGAAGGUCUCGAAAAUGACUGUUAAUGUGAGCUGUGACAACCUGCCAAAGGAAAUGUUAGCGAAAGGGCUUGAUCUGGACCGUCAGUGGUACUUAUUUGAACACAUUGGUGAAUUAUGUCGCACAGAUGAAGCCAAAAACUGUAUAUGUCCGAAACCCGCUACUGAUAAGCUACAAAAAACAGACUGUGCCCCCCAAAAAACAGAAGGUGCAUUAAGAUGCACAUCUGAUCUUCUCUGAACAUGCCAAAACAAUUACAUACAUCAUGUAUCAGUGUUUUUUUGCCAAGGUAUUGGGUGAUGUUUUUUCCCACAAACAGUGCAAAAAAUCCUCUAUUCUGAGGAAAGCUAAUACAUGUACAUGUAUACGAGUGCUAAAUCUGUUAGUUGAUACAGGUUUUGAAGUGUUCAAUACAAUAGUUUGUUGUUCUAAUUGCACAAGCUUGUUUUCAAGUUUUUUAAAUCUCAUAUUUACAAAACAAAAAUCAUUUUUUCAAUGUUACUUUGAAAUUGUUUUCACCUUAUGGACACAGACUGCCUUUCCAAAAAACUGGAAAAAACAUCAAUGUGAAUAUUGUAUUUAUUUAUGUUUUACUAUAAAAAUCCUAUAAUUAUGUUUGUUUGCUUCAUUGUUUCCAUAGUAACAAAAACAAACAAUAUGUAUAAAUUAUUGUUUAUUUUGUCUAUUUUAAAAAAUCAGAAAUAAUGAUAAUAAUUAUUAUUACAUUUACUUAAACAUUUAGUAGCCAAGUGUACUUUCAACCAACACUUUUCAAUGCUGUUUUUUCCAUUAUGAUGAGGUUACAUUAUAAUUGAAUUCACAUGUAACUGAAUGAAAAGGAAAAUGGAACACACACAUUAUUGAUUGUUAUAGUUUAACUAGUUGCAAAAACAGUGCAAUUAAUAUUGUGUUUACCUUUAAACAAACACUUGAUUGAUAAUACAAUUCAUGUAUUUAUAAAAGGCGUGAUUGUGCGCUCUGGUGAUUAUUACCAUGUAGAUUGGUUACCAUAGCAACACAAAUACUACAUUUUUAAUGUCCAUAAUGCUGUUGUCAGUUUUUUGCAUUAUAAUUAUGUAUUUGACUUAAGAAAGAUUAUUGUUUUAAUAAAACAGUUUGCUUGUUGUUU
Molecule: long non-coding RNA, 1653 nt
Organism: Dreissena polymorpha
Lineage: Eukaryota; Metazoa; Mollusca; Bivalvia; Myida; Dreissenidae
Exons: 4
Source: RefSeq, a predicted model, not a curated record